UUGAACGCUGGCGGCAGGCCUAACACCUGCAAGUCGAGCGGAUGAAGGGAGCUUGCUCCUGGAUUCAGCGGCGGACGGGUGGGUAAUGCCUAGGAAUCUGCCUGGUAGUGGGGGAUAACGUCCGGAAACGGGCGCUAAUACCGCAUACGUCCUGAGGGAGAAAGUGGGGGAUCUUCGGACCUCACGCUAUCAGAUGAGCCUAGGUCGGAUUAGCUAGUUGGUGGGGUAAAGGCCUACCAAGGCGACGAUCCGUAACUGGUCUGAGAGGAUGAUCAGUCACACUGGAACUGAGAAAAGGUCCAGACUCCUACGGGAGGCAGCAGUGGGGAAUAUUGGACAAUGGGCGAAAGCCUGAUCCAGCCAUGCCGCGUGUGUGAAGAAGGUCUUCGGAUUGUAAAGCACUUUAAGUUGGGAGGAAGGGCAGUAAGUUAAUACCUUGCUGUUUUGACGUUACCAACAGAAUAAGCACCGGCUAACUUCGUG
RNAcentral lists this ribosomal RNA (483 nucleotides) under uncultured bacterium. RNAcentral describes it as "partial 16S ribosomal RNA". It matches the Rfam family "Bacterial small subunit ribosomal RNA", at positions 30 to 507 of the family's 1533-position model. The record is from RNAcentral.